UGGGGAAUAUUGGACAAUGGGGGCAACCCUGAUCCAGCAAUGCCGCGUGUGUGAAGAAGGCCUUCGGGUUGUAAAGCACUUUUAUCGGGAACGAAACAUUGUCGGCCAAUACCCGGCAAGACUGACGGUACCCGAGGAAUAAGCACCGGCUAACUCCGUGCCAGCAGCCGCGGUAAUACGGAGGGUGCAAGCGUUAUCCGGAAUCACUGGGCGUAAAGGGCGCGUAGGCGGUCUGUUAAGUCCGAUGUUAAAUCCCGGGGCUCAACCCCGGAUAAGCGUUGGAUACUGGCAGGCUAGACGGUUGGAGAGGCGAGUGGAAUUACCAGUGUAGCGGUGGAAUGCGUAGAUACUGGUAGGAACACCCAUUGCGAAGGCAGCUCGCUGGACAACACGUGACGCUGAGGCGCGAAAGUGUGGGGAGCAAACC
RNAcentral lists this ribosomal RNA (427 nucleotides) under uncultured bacterium. RNAcentral's name for it is "bacterial SSU rRNA". It matches the Rfam family "Bacterial small subunit ribosomal RNA", at positions 355 to 774 of the family's 1533-position model. The record is from RNAcentral.